UGCCGUCCAGGGAUGAUAAUGAAGAGCAGGAUGACGAAGAUGAAGAUACCCUCGAUGAUUCCAUUGAGAGGAUACUGUUCUCCGUCGUACUUUUGCUGAACGAUUUCUCCUGCACAAGUAAUCAAAUCGAGGCACUCUCGUUGGAAGAACAAAGGCUGAAGCAAAACAGAAGCAGAGG
Long non-coding RNA from Panicum hallii, 178 nucleotides. RefSeq lists it as uncharacterized. The record is from RefSeq and is a predicted model, not a curated record. The transcript is spliced from 2 exons. NCBI's taxonomy places the organism in Eukaryota, Viridiplantae, Streptophyta, Magnoliopsida, Poales, Poaceae.